CCUACGGGUGACAGCAGUGAGGAAUAUUGGUCAAUGGACGAGAGUCUGAACCAGCCAAGUAGCGUGAAGGAUGACUGCCCUAUGGGUUGUAAACUUCUUUUAUAUGGGAAUAAAAUGUUCCACGUGUGGGAUUUUGUAUGUACCAUAUGAAUAAGGAUCGGCGAACUCCGUGCCAGCAGCCGCGGUAAUACGGAGGAUCCGAGCGUUAUCCGGAUUUAUUGGGUGUAAAGGGAGCGUAGGUGGAUUGUUAAGUCAGUUGUGAAAGUUUGCGGCUCAACCGUAAAAUUGCAGUUGAAACUGGCAGUCUUGCGUACAGUAGCGGUGGGCGGAAUUCGUGGUGUAGCGGUGAAAUGCUUAGAUAUCACGAAGAACUCCGAUUGCGAAGGCAGUUCACUGGACUGCAACUGACACUGAGGCUCGAAAGUGUGGGUAUCAAACAGGAUUAGAUACCCCUGUAGUC
This 460-nucleotide ribosomal RNA is filed under the name uncultured bacterium. Its description in RNAcentral is "partial 16S ribosomal RNA". It matches the Rfam family "Bacterial small subunit ribosomal RNA", at positions 338 to 795 of the family's 1533-position model. The record is from RNAcentral.